AUUGAACGCUGGCGGCAGACCUAACACAUGCAAGUCGAGCGCGCGGCGGACGGGUGAGUAAUGUAUGGGGACUGCCCGAUAGAGGGGGAUAACUACUGGAAACGGUAGCUAAUACCGCAUACUAUCGGAUAACCCAUAUGGGAUUAGCUAGUAGGUGAGGUAAUGGCUCACCUAGGCGACGAUCCCUAGCUGGUCUGAGAGUAUGAUCAGCCAAACUGGGACUGAGAAACGGCCCAGACGCCGACGGGGGCAGCGGUGGGGAAUAUUGCACAAUGGGCGAAAGCCUGAUGCAGCCAGGCCGCGUGUAUGAAGAAGGCCCUAGGGUUGUAAAGGACUUUCAGUCGGGAGGCGUUACCGACAGAAGAAGCACCGGCUAACUCCGUGCCAGCAGCCGCGGUAUAC
This 402-nucleotide ribosomal RNA is filed under the name uncultured bacterium. RNAcentral's name for it is "partial 16S ribosomal RNA". It matches the Rfam family "Bacterial small subunit ribosomal RNA", at positions 30 to 526 of the family's 1533-position model. The record is from RNAcentral.